Non-coding RNA from Paramuricea clavata, 76 nucleotides. Lineage: Eukaryota; Metazoa; Cnidaria; Anthozoa; Malacalcyonacea; Plexauridae. The record is from the annotation of a GenBank genome assembly.
CAUCCUCGGUCCCAGGGCCUCACGGCUGACACUGCGUUGCCGCAGUGUCAGCCGUGAGGCCCUGGGACCGAGGAUG